RNAcentral lists this ribosomal RNA (466 nucleotides) under uncultured bacterium. RNAcentral's name for it is "bacterial SSU rRNA". It matches the Rfam family "Bacterial small subunit ribosomal RNA", at positions 59 to 518 of the family's 1533-position model. The record is from RNAcentral.
AAGUCGAGGGGCAGCAUAGAAGUAGCAAUACUUGGUGGCGACCGGCGCACGGGUGAGUAACGCGUAUGCAACCUACCUAUCAGAGGGGAAUAACCCGGCGAAAGUCGGACUAAUACCGCAUAAAACAGGGGCACCGCAUGGUGAUAUUUGUUAAAGAAAUUCGCUGAUAGAUGGGCAUGCGUUCCAUUAGGUAGUUGGUGAGGUAACGGCUCACCAAGCCGACGAUGGAUAGGGGAACUGAGAGGUUGGUCCCCCACGCUGGUACUGAGACACGGACCAGACUCCUACGGGAGGCAGCAGUGAGGAAUAUUGGUCAAUGGGCGGGAGCCUGAACCAGCCAAGUCGCGUGAAGGAAGAAGGAUCUAUGGUUCGUAAACUUCUUUUGCAGGGGAAUAAAGUGCAGGACGUGUCCUGUUUUGUAUGUACCCUGAGAAUAAGGAUCGGCUAACUCCGUGCCAGCAGCCGC